GUUAAGGUGGCAGAACCCGGUAUUGCAAAAGACCUAAGCCCUUUAAAUAGAGGUUCAAAUCCUCUCCUCAACU
This 73-nucleotide transfer RNA is filed under the name Hippocampus spinosissimus (hedgehog seahorse). Its description in RNAcentral is "tRNA-Leu". It matches the Rfam family "tRNA". Rfam says of the family: Transfer RNA (tRNA) molecules are approximately 80 nucleotides in length. The record is from RNAcentral. Lineage: Eukaryota; Metazoa; Chordata; Actinopteri; Syngnathiformes; Syngnathidae.